GAGUUACUGGCUGCGGCCUCUGUAAGCAACUGAUCUACAAGGCAUUAUUCCAUUGACAACUCUAGGCUUCAUUCUACAGAGAAUGAAGUAUUACCUGAAUUCCAUGUUGUGGCUGAAGCAAAAGAAGGGUAAAUGGUGAGUGGCUGUAGGUUGGGGAAAGGGAAAUGUUGUAUCGCUGUAGAAUCAUGGAAAGAGCAAUCUUUGUUUCUGUCAUUGCAAAGCUCAUACCGACACAAGAUCGAGGUCCCAAUCCAAAGGGAACAUAUGCAGCUGCAUUAUGUUUGGUGGCAUUGGCGAUCCCUUCUGCGAAUCUCUCAGGUUUGAAGAGAUUGACAUCAUCUCCCCAUAACUGAGGGUCAUGGUGAAGUGCCAUGAUUGGGACACCCAAAUGUAAAUCAGCUGGCAGGAUGAGCUUUCCCAAUUGAACUUCAUUUUCAACUUUUCUUGCCAUGCCACUUACAGGAGGAUAUAAUCUUAAAGUUUCAUUAAUGAUCAUAGUCAUCUGUAUGCAGCAGAAGAGGAAUAAACAUAUCAAAUCUAUUCUGAUUUUCAAAAAUUCAAUCUACUAAAUGUUCAAUGAUGUGUCCAAGCAAAAUGAUUAGAUUUACUUACAGUCUUUAGUCUGCCAAUGCCUUCAGAAUGUGGAUUUUGGUUACCAAAGACCUUAAUCACCUCUCUUCUUGCUUUCUCCUGCCAAUCUGGAUUGAUUGCUAAAAGCAAGACUGUCCAUGCAAGUGCAGAAUUAGUUGUUUCUUGUCCAGCAAAGUAAAAUGUCUUGCAUUCAUCUACCAAAUCUUGUACUGAUAGCCUGUUCUUCUUGUCUGCAUCAUGGUAAGCACUUACAAGUAAUCCAAGAAAAUCAGUGCCAAAGCUGUUGGCUUCUCCAUUCACUACUUUCUCUUCUCGUUUCUUAACUAUCUCCAUCACAGAAUUGUGUAUUCCUUUUACAAGUUUGUCUGAUUCAAUUUCAUCAGCAGUUUUACGGAAAUUACUGCAAAAGCAAAACAAAUUUCCACCAACAUAUGAAGGCAAAAUAAAACAAAAAUCCACCUAGCUAUACAAGAGUAGUUUAACCAUUUGCGCAAAAGCUGCAUAAUAUGACUUCUAGUUAGUCUCCUUUCUCAUUAAAUCAGAAAUAACCUGAAGAGGAACUUACCUAAUGACAGGAAACUUAGAUUUAAACAUGUUUCUGUUUGUCAAGACAGACAACUUCAACAACAUGUCAAAAAUCUUUUUCCCAUCUAAGUAACUGCUACCAAAAGCUGUCCUUGAUAUGACUUCUGAAGUCAACAACCUAAAUUCUUCAAACACCUCAAUUUCUUUGCCUUCAAGUUGCUUCCACUUUUCCAGCAUCGUCUCUACACUAGCAAUCAGUGCUGGUGUCAUGCUCUGCCAAAACCAUCACCACUCUUAUGAGUAACUUAUACCUUGCCAGGAUUUGGUUCUUCUCUAAUGCAUAAAAUUCACAAAACAUGAUCUGACUAUGAAGUAUCUUACAUCAACACAUCUAUGACAAAAAUAAUUAUAGCAUUUGAUCAGAAGUUUACUUUUAAGCUCUCCCCAUGAAAAGCAUAAUUGGCCAACUUCCUUUGCCUUGCCCAUUUCUGACCUUCGGAUGUCACAAGCCCAUCCCCUAGUAUCUUAAUAGCGAACUCGUCUUCAUUCCUCUUCCUUUCUCUACUUGUCCUUUUUGGAAAAGCUCUUUCACUACUCUUCAACACCUCUUUGACAAGCUCAGGCUCUGUGAUAAUCAGUUGAGCUUUAGUACCUGCCCAAGAAAGAUAGUUUUUCCCUAAUUCCACGGAAACAAAAGAAGGUUAAAUUGUUUCUUAAAAAAGGGUCUUAAAGCAAAAAAAAAAAAAAAGAAAAAAAAGUUGGGGGGGGGUGGGGUGUGGGGGGAGAGAAUUUAAUCUUACCAUAUGAGUUGAUCCAUGAAUAAACUUGAGGAUGGACUCUGGGAAAUAUAUCAUGUGAUAAACUAGUCAUAGGCUUGCUUAAUGCUUCCUGUUUCAUUUUUAUGGUCUCUUUGUUGUUUCCAUGGAUGAAUUUGUAAGGAGGUCCUUUGAUUCCUUGCAAAUUCAUUGCAUACUGUAUCCGAAGUGGUGUCCACCAAUACUUGUGUAGGAUUUUGAUCAGAGCUAUGACCAGAUACAGGCACAGAGAGCCUGUAAGAAGGGCUGAUAGAUUUGCUGCCAUGGAAGACAUUUGCAGAACCUGGCAAGGAAAAUAGAUUUUCUGAUAAAGUUCAUUUCCCCGGGAUAUAUCAGAUUUAUGACAUUUCAAGGGCGGUCACUUUGGCCUCAUUCAGAAUUAUGGUCUAAGCUAUAGAUAGUCAAAUUCAACCGCAUGACCAAUAGUUGCAGCCUGUUCAACGUUUCACAUUCACAUGGACAAAACUCAACGAAUAGGAGCAGUGAAAAUUAGAAAAAUUUGCAAUAAAGAAAAGGGAAAAGAGAACAGUCAAAGCACGUUAUGUCUGAUGCAGAACAGAACUCUGUCCAGACAGAGAAAUAGCCGUAACCCAUUGUCAAACACAACAAGUAUGUUAUUAAUAUUCAUUUUAAUUUAAUAUGUAUCCAAAUUUAAUUUUUUUUUGAAAAGUGAUUUUAUUAACCUCUAUCUCAUCACCAGCAUGUCGUUUCAAGUGUUUAGCUUAGCAUGCAAAAGACUCUCAUGGCAUAAACGGGCAGUGAAGCCUGUACACUUACGAAAGAAUUUUGCUACUCACGCAAAAAGUAGCAUCACUUGAUCAAGGAUCAACCGACCAAAACCAAACUUUAGGGGGGAAGCAUUUACGGCCCUUGGCUACCUACACAAAAUUAUCGAGUACAUACAAAGGAUAGGAGAAGCAGAAGACCGACAUCAGUCGUGAAGCAAAAAAGAGCACCCUAAAACUAUCGUAGACUAGAGGAACAGCCUCCCCAAUUAGCCAGCACGCCCUUCACACUUGGGCUACAAGCUGACAGGAAAGCAGCCCCUGCAAUGCAUCGAACACAACCAGCAAAAAAGACACAGGACGAGCACAAACCAACAACAUCGAACCAUCGACCAUGGCGAAGAAGAGUCGAAAACUUGCAGCCCGCACUUGAGCAGAGGAAAGGCCGAGAGCAGCUCCGAGAAGGAGGGAUGCCCCAAAAACACUCUGCAGAAAAACGCAAGCCACCUUACAAGAGAAAGCCAACACUCUCCACUAUCGGAAGAGCCAAAGAGAAGAGCAGCUCCACAAUUUGAGAAGCUCAAAUGGAAGAAGAAACCUCAUGAUAGGAGAAACACCUGGUCCAACCAAAAUUAGAAAACUCGACCAACCACGGACAGCAAGGGCAGCAUGGAACAACCGUUAAGAACAAACACAUGAAAGGGGAGAGCAGAAAGGACAAAUCUUUGACUACCAAUAGAGCAAAGGCAAGCCAAAGCAAAUCAAACAGGAUCGAAAAGCCCAAAGCAACAAGGAAAUGAAAACUAAAGAGAAAACAAACAAAACCUGAACAGAGGGAAAUCUCAGUCAACAACAAAAAGCUUGUUGGGAAAUUGCGGAAUUGUCUCUAAAGAAUUGCCCAAGAUCUAACCCAAUCAAUCGAAUAAAGAAAGAAAGAAAUCAAGGACACCCACAAGAACACAAGAAUUUACGUGGUUCGGUCUUUUAAUGACUUACGUUCACAGGCACAACAAUAGAGAAAUAUUCACUAAGAGAAAAAUUAAGAGAUUACAAGAACAGUCUCAAACUCAUAACCCUUAUCCCACAUAUACCUAAAUCAUUCUCUCUAAAUCUAGGUGAUAAUUAUUCUUUAACCCCAUAGGGUCCUUUUAUAGUAUCAAAUACAAUAUCCUUAUCCUAAUUUAAUUAGGAAUCUUAUCCUAAUAGAAUAGAUAAUUGUUAUUCUAAUCUAACUAGAUUUAAAGACUAUUUAUAAGGUAUACUAAUUUAAUUAGAAUUAAACAAUCCUAAUUAAAUCACAAUUCAAGACUAUCCUAACAAAUCUCCACCUUAGGCUUGAAUUCACCAAGCUCCACCUUACGAACCAAUCUCUGUCGACACCGCCACUGCCCCAAUGGGCCUCAAGCACUACGAACACCGAUCAAGUCCAAGCAAUGCUUGAACUUUAUCCCAGAAACUGACUUAGUUAGCAUAUCUGCCGGAUUUUCAUCUGUAGCUAUUUUCUUUACUACAAUCUCACCUUUAGAAAUAAUCUCUCGAACGAAGUUACACUUGACUUGGAUGUGUUUGGUUCUCUCAUGAAACAUCUGAUUUUUAGUCAAAUGUAUAGCACUUUGACUAUCACAAAACACAACUGUUUGUGUUUGUUCAAAACCAAGAUCACUAACCAAGCCUUUAAGCCACAAAGCCUCCUUCACUGCCUCGGUCACAGCCAUAUAUUCAGCUUCAGUUGUAGACAAAGCAAAGGUUGAUUGAAGAACUGCUUUCCAACUGAUUGCAGAUCCUGAGAGAGUGAACACAUACCCCGUUUGAGAUCUUCUACUAUCUAGAUCACCAGCAAAAUCUGAUUUGGAGAAGCCAACCACAUUACGACUAAUGUUUGCACCUCCUUCACACACUAAGCCAACUUCAAUAGUAACUUUAGGUGUUUUCACAAGCUCCCAUGUUUGAUCCCAGUGUAGAGACUCAAUCUUCUUAGAAGACUCGACAUAUAUAAUUUUCUCAUGAUAAAAGUAAGGCUCUUCAAUCUCUACUUCCACAAAUAAAACAUAAGAAUCAAAAUCACCAUCAAUACAAGUAAUGCUUCGUUGAGAUACCAAUUCUUGUACCUCUUGCAAUUCUUUCUGGAUUUCACUAUCAUCUCGCACUGUCACAAGAGCAUUGAUUUCAAGCUCCACCUGCUUGCCAACUUCUUGGUUUGAUGUGUUUGCAAUUCUAGACUUUAUCCCACAAAGUAAUGCAGACUUGUCAAAGGUAACAUCCCGACUCACCAUAAACUUGGGGAACUUACAAUCAGUACACCACAACCAAUAACCCUUCACCCCAUAUGCAUAGCCUAGGAAUAUGCACUCUGUCGCCCUCAACUCAAGUUUACCAUCACUCACAUGAACAUGAACAGGACAACCAAAUACUCUCAAUAUAAAAUAAUCAGCAGGCUUACCAGACCAAACUUCCUUGGGAGUCUUAAAUUCAAUUGCAGUUGAUGGAGACCGAUUUACCAAGUAACAAGCCUUGUUGAUAGCUUCUGUCCAAAAUACUUUGGUUAGGCCAACAUUUGAGAACACGUAUUUUGCUCUCUCCAAAAGUGUUUUCUUCAUCAAUUCUACAAUAUCGUUUUGAUAUGGUGUUUUGUCGACAGUGCGAUGUCUAACGAUUUUCUCAUUCUUGUAGAAUAGACCAAACUCACAUUUGCAAAAUUUCAAACCUUUGUUUGUUCGAAAGCUCUCGAUCCUUUUCUUAGUCUGCUUCUCGAUCAAUACCUUCCAAUGCAAAAAGGUGGUUAACACUUCACUCAUAGCCUUUAGAAGAUACGUCCACACCUUUCUUGAAAAAUCAUCAAUAAAGAUCCACAUGUAUAAUGAUCCACCUUUUGAUACCACCGGAGAAGGAUCCCACAAAUCUAAAUAGAUGUAGUUUACUGUACCCCUGGUUUGAUGAGUUUUAGUGCUAAAUUUCACUCUAUGUUGCUCACAGAAAUCUAGCUUUCCACUCUUUUGACCACACAGCAAACUAUGCUUACUUAGUUUUCUAAUCCCUCUCUCGCUCAUAUGACCAAAUCUCAUAUUCCAUAAACGUGUUACAUCAUCUUCAGGAUCAUUAGAUGAGACCACAGAAACAGUUUCAAUGACCGUGUUUCCCACUAGACAAUAAAGGUCACCGGAUAACUUGCCCUUCAUGAUAGUUAAGGCUCCUUUAGAUACAUUCAAGACACCAUCUUGGCCACUAUAUUUGUAGCCCUUCUUAUCUAACAAACUCAAGGAUAUUAAAUUCUUUUUCAUGUCAGGGACAUGUUUUACCUCAAGUGUUCUUACCAUACCAUCAAACAUCUUGAUUCUAAUUGUGCCAAUUCCAACAACUGAGAGAGAGAAAUCAUCUCCUAAUUGUACAGUGCCCAUAUUAACAGAUUGAUAAGUUGUAAACCAAUCACGCCUAGGACAUAUAUGAAAGCAACAAGCCGAAUCCAAGAUCCAUGUAUCCAUCAGGUUACAAUUAGUAAUUGCAAGAACAUUAUCAGUUUCCUCAAAAGUAUCAAAGUCAUCUCCAACCACGUUUGCAGUAUUCUCAGACUUAUUAAACUUUUCAUCAUCCUUGAAUUUGAUACAGUCUUGACGAAAAUGCCCUUUCUGACCACAAUUCCAGCAAGUUUUCCCUUUUGCUCUAGAUUUACCUUUUCUGUCUAAGCCUUUCUCUUUACCUCUACCUCUAUUUACAACCAAACCUUCUGCUUGAUUUUCAUUCCGAAUACCACCAACUUUCUUCUUUAAUUCCUUGGAAUUUAAAGAUGCCCUUACAUCCUCGAAAGUGAGAGUGUCUCGGCCGUAAAGCAUAGUAUCCACGAAAUUUUCAUACGAUGGAGGCAAAGAACAUAAAAGAAUUAGGGCUAGGUCCUCAUCCUCAAUUUUAACAUCGAUAUUCUUUAAAUCAAGAAUAACUCUAUUAAAUUCAUCAAUGUGGGUAUUAACGGACGUACCUUCACUCAUCUUGAGAGUAUACAAUCGUUGCUUCAUAUAAAGCCGAUUCGUCAGGGACUUGGUCAUAUAAAUACUUUCGAGUUUAAACCACACUGCAGCAGCAGAUUCUUCAUCCGUGACUUCUCUUAGCACCUCAUCAGACAAAGCAAGGAGAAUAGCACUAUGUGCUUUUUCCAUAAGGUCAUCUUUCUCACCAUCAGAUAAAUUCGAGGGAAGAUGCUCUUUUCCCUUCAGUGCCUUCAACAGUCCUUGUUGCACUAGCAAUGCGCGCAUCUUAACACGCCACAGGCUGAAAUCGUUUCUUCCAUUAAACUUUUCAAUCUCAUACUUGGUCGACGAAGUUGCCAUAGCGAGAUUCAGAUUGAUCCAAGACCUUGAAGCUCUGAUACCAGUUUGUUGGGAAAUUGCGGAAUUGUCUCUAAAGAAUUGCCCAAGAUCUAACCCAAUCAAUAGAAUAAAGAAAGAAAGAAAUCAAGCACACCCACAAGAACACAAGAAUUUACGUGGUUCGGUCUUUUGAUGACCUACGUCCACGGGCACAACAACAGAGAAAAAUUCACUAAGAGAAAAAUCAGGAGAUUACAAGAACAGUCUCAAACUCAUAACCCUUAUCCCACGUACACCUAAAUCACUCUCUCUAAAUCUAGGUGAUAAUUAUUCUUUAACCCAUAGGGUCCUUUUAUAGUAUCAAAUACAAUAACCUUAUCCUAAUAUAAUUAAGAAUCUUAUCCUAAUAGAAUUAGAAAUUGUUAUUCUAAUCUAACUAGAUUUAAAGACUAUUUAUAAAGUAUACUAAUUUAAUUAGAAUUAAACAAUCCUAAUUAAAUCCCAAUUCAAGACUAUCCUAACAAAGCUUCCAAUGAAUCCAGGAAGAAUAGAUUCACUCACAAGGGAACCAUCAGCAGAAGAACAAAAGGGACCCAUGCGAGGGAGCAAUGGUUAAAGAUGAGAAGUGAGCCUUUGAAUCAGAAAAGCCACUUGACAUUUCAUCUUUUUCACGUUUUUUCUUUUUUAUUUUCUUUUUUGUAAAUUUUCCUUCUUUUUUUUUAAUUGAUAUGAAUCCAAAACUAUUCAAACUCGUUGUCAUCUGAACUCGAAAUGACUUGAUUCUAAGCUACUCGUUUGCCAACUCUAUGUAUAUCUCUUUUUUCUGAAUCAGCAGGCAGGGCAGUAGCAUACUGUCUUGUUGCUGUGAUGUGGUUUCUGAUGAUUGUCUGGCGGACAAGAGACAAUUGAGGACAUUUCCAAGGCCAUAUUACUAUCUACUGCUAUAAAAUAUUCACAUACAAAUCCAUGCGCAGGCAUAGUUUCAAAUCUCUCUGGAUAAGCCUUUUGUUUAUAUAUCAGCUAGUUGAACCUCAGUGUUACCGUGCCUGAGCUAAUAUGUCAGAGUCAAAAUGUCACUGAAUGAUAACAAAGGUUCAAAUUUUGUUACAACAGUGCAAGUUUUGUUGUUUCAUUGGCAUUCUAUUGAGCUAGAGCUGCUAAAGAAUUUUUUUUUUGAUAUUGCAUAUGUUGGCAAUUUUUGCCGGUCCUGAUCGGGCGGGCUGGUCAAAAUUGUAAAGCAGUUGUAAAUACUAGCAAAGAUAUCAUUGUUAACAGGUCUGGUUAUAUAUCAUAGCGCAUCUUUGAGAAUGGAGUUCAUGCUGAUUAAUCGUGUGCAAACUGUGAUGUCCACAUUUAUUGGGUUUUGAGAGGCGUAUGAACUCGACUAAAUGGCCGCUGUGUUCUGUCCAUAAACUGAAACAGGGGACUGUACUCCCCAUAAAACUUGCUGGAAAUAAUUUUAUAGUUGCAUUACAGGGGAGAUCACCGUGUAAGCCUGUACUGUUUAUACCAUUUGGUUUAGUUUUAAUAUGUUGUAAUUUCGUAUUGUAUGCAUCUUUUCCUUUUGAAACGAUUGAUGUUUUUAACCUUUAAAGGCAUCUCAUAAAGCGUGAUUCAGACUAUCUUGCCUGGAUAUAAUUUGUUUCAAACCUGUUACAAAUUUGUUUUAUUAGCUUGAUCUUGAGCAAGCCAGAGCUGGUUCCCGGGUUCACCUAGUCCCUGUGAAUUUUGAAUAUAAAUCAGUAGUAUGCGUAUGAUUUCUUAUCAUUUUAUUUAAUUUUUUCUAGGUAAAUUUAUAACUAAUUUUAAUCUUUACCAAUGAUGGAGUCAAGACUUAUGCUUAAUCUAGGUAAAGUUAUUUCCCCUUCUGCAAAUUUCUCUAGUUUGAAAACAUGAACAUCUUCACCCCCAUAUCUCAGGGUCAUGGUGAAGUGCCGGAGUUGAAAUGAAAAAUUCAGUAUUUUCUUCUUGGAGAAUUUUGUUACAGAAAAAAAGGUACAAGGCAAUCAUACUCGUCUCUAAUCAACAUCUACAAAAAUAUCAGAAUAGAAGAGGAAAUAGUACUCAGAGGAGUACCCUCUUCAUACUUGAUUACUAGAACAUUUAGUUCCAAUACCAUCAUUUACUACUGCAUGGAUAGAAACAAGGACUGAGUGGGAUGAGUUACUGGCUGCAGCCUCUAUAAACAACUGAUCUACAAGGCAUUAUUCCAUUGACAACUCUAGGCUUCAUUCUACAGAGAAUGAAGUAUUACCUGAAUUCCAUGUUGUGGCUGAAGCAAAAGAAGGGUACAUGGUGAGUGGCUGUAGGUUGGGGAAAGGGAAAUGGUGUAUCGCUGUAGGAUCAUCGAAAGUGCAGUCUUUGCUUCUGUCAUUGCAAAGCUCAUACCGACGCAAGAUCGAGGUCCCAAUCCAAAGGGAAUAAAUGCAGCUGCAUUAUGCUUGGUGGCAUUUGAGAUCCCUUCUGAGAAUCUCUCAGGUUUGAAGAGAUUGGCAUCAUCUCCCCAUAACUGAGGGUCAUGGUGAAGUGCCACGAUUGGGACAACCACAUGCAAAUCAGCUGGCAGGAUGAGCUUUCCCAAUUGAACUUCAUUCCCAACUUUUCUUACCAUGCUAUUUAUAGGAGGAUAUAAUCUUAAAGUUUCAUUAAUGAUCAUAGUCAUCUGUAUGCAGCAGAAGAGGAAUAAACAUAUCAAAUCUAUUCUGAUUUUCAAAAAUUAAAUCUACUAAAUGUUAAGUGAUGUGUCCAAGCAGAAUGAUUAGACUUGCUUACAGUCUUUAGUCUGCCAAUGCCUUCAGAAUGUGGAUUUUGGUUACCAAAGACCUCAAUCACCUCUCUUCUUGCUUUCUCCUGCCAAUCUGGAUUGAUUGCUAAAAGCAAGACUGCCCAUGCAAGUGCAGAAUUAGUAGUUUCCUGUCCAGUAAAGUAAAAUGUCUUGCAUUCAUCUACCAAAUCUUGUCCUGAUAGCCUGUUCUUCUUGUCAGCAUCAUGGUAAGCACUUAAAAGUAAUCCAAGAAAAUCAGUGCCAAAGCUGUUGGCUUCUCCAUUUAAUACUUCCUCUUCUCUUUUCUUAACUAUCUCCAUCACAGAAUUGUGUAUUCCUUUUACAAGUUUUUCUGAUUCAAUUUCAUCAGCAGUUUUACAGAAGUUACUGCAAAAGCAAAAAAAAAUUACCACCAACAUAUGAAGGCAAAAUAAAACAAAAAUCCACCUAGCUAUACAAGAGUAGUUUAACCAUUUGGGAAAAAGCGGCAUAAUAUGACUUCUAGUUAGUCUCCUUUCUCAUUAAAUCUGAAAUAACCUUAAGAGGAACUUACCUAAUGACAGGAAACUUAGCUUUAAACAGGUUUCUGUUUGUCAAGACAGACAACUUUAACAGCAUGUCAAAAAUCUUUUUCCCAUCUAAGUAACUGCUACCAAAAGCUGUUCUUGAUAUGACUUCUGAAGUCAACAACCUGAAGUCUUCAAACACAUCAAUUUCUUUGCCUUCAAAUUGUUUCCACCUUUCCAGCAUGGUCUCAACACUAGCAAUCACUGCUGGUGUCAUGCUCUGCCAAAACCAUCACCCACUCUUAUGAGUAACUUAUACUUUGCCAGGAUUUGGUGCUUCUCUAAUGCAUAAAAUUCACAAAAGAUGAUAUAACUAUGAAGUAUCUUACACCAACACAUCUAUAACAAAAAUAAUUGUAGUAUUUGAUCAGAAGUUUACUUUUAAGCUGUCCCCAUGAAAAGCAUAAUUGGCCAACUUCCUUUGCCUCGCCCAUUUCUCACCUUCGGAUGUCACAAGCCCAUCCCCUAGUAUCAUAAGAGCGAAUUCGUCUUCAUUCCUCUUCCUUUCUCUACUUGUCCUUUUUGGAAAAGCUCUUUCACUACUUUUCAACACCUCUUUGACAAGCUCAGGCUCUGUGAUAAACAGUUGAGCUGUAGUACCUCCCCAAGAAAGGUAGUUUUUCCCUACUUCCACAGAAACAAGAGAAGGUUAAAUUGUUCUUAGAAAACGGUCUUAAAACUAAAGGGGGGAAUUUAAUCUUACCAUAUGAGUUGAUCCGUGAAUAAACAGGAGGAUUGACUCUGGGAAAUAUAUCAUGUGAUAAACUAGCCAUAGGCUUGCUUAAUGCUUCCUGUUUCAUUUUUACGGUCUCUUUGUUGUUUCCAUGGAUGAAUUUGUAAGGAGGUCCUUUGAUUCCUUGCAAAUUCAUUGCAUACUGUAUCCGAAGUGGUGUCCACCAAUACUUGUGUAGGAUUUUGAUCAGAGCUAUGACCAGAUACAGGCACAGAGAGCCUGUAAGAAGGGCUGAUAGAUUUGCUGCCAUGGAAGUCAUUUGCAGAACCUGACAAGGAAAAUAGAUUUUCCGAUGAGUUCAUUCCCGGAGUAUCAGAUUUAUGACAUUUAAAAUCGGGUCACUUUUGCAUUUAGAAUUAUGGUCUAAUCUAUUGAUAUAUUCAAACAAUUUAUUUAAAGUGUAUAACAUAGGCAGCCAAACACCCUCAAUUUACCAUAAUUUGGUUAGUUGCCAAACAAUUUAUGAAAGGGAGAAUCCAUUUGCAAAAUAGGUGUAGGGAUUAAUUAAAUACACAGCUGUCAGAAAAGUAUGAGAUAAAAAUUUCAUGCAAAAGUCUAAAAAGGUACUUGCAAUAAAGAUCUCAAGAGUGAUGGGCACCCAACACUUGUGGUCAACCUACAAGUCUUGGGUACUAACCAUUAGAUCAUAUGGUGAUUGCAAGUGUUAAUUUAUAUUUUUCAUCUCGAGGUAUAUAGUGUUUGGUUCUUAUAAUGUGUAAGGUAAGUUGAAUGAUUUGAUUAGUUAAAUAAAGAAUCGAUAGUUCAAUGUUUGGUCAACCACUCAAUUUAGACUAGAACCAAUCACACUCAUUAAGUGAAGGUUCAAAUCUGUGAGACACCUUUAUUUAUGAACAAAAUUCUCAAAGUUGUUGGUAUUUGAAACUUUUAAAAAUGGUGGGGGAUUGUUGGUGUAAUUUCAAAAUAAAAGGUUCUCACAUAACGGAUAUUUAUUUUAGCUCAAAAGUUAUGUCAGAUAAUAAAAGAUUAUGUUAAGCUUAAAGGUUAUGUCACAGAAAGUACCAGUGUAACUAUUAGAUUGUAAGUAGGUUUUUCAUAUAAAUAGUUAUAUUUCUUAAUAAAGUGAUAAUUGGAAAACCAUCUCUGAAUCCAGAAAUUAUGAGACAAUUGAAAAACAUCACAGUUAAAAAGUUUAUAUAUGAAAAGUUAUUUUUUCAUAUUGUAGCUCAAAAAUUAUGUUUUAUGGAAUGAAUGAUUAUUCUCUCAUUAGAUGAUUUUUGAAACAAUACUUUUAUCUAAGGAUUAUGUUUUACAAAUUGCAAAGGUAUCUUUAAGAUAAAAAGGUGUCUUGAUGAAAAGGUUGUAACUUCGAAGAAGAGAUACUUGCAAGCCUAUUUAAAAGACUUACGGCUAACCAUUUUGAUACACCAAAACAAAUAAGACAAGUGUAGAAAAAUCAACAGAGAUAGAAGUGUUAUGUUUUGAAAAUAAAUAUAAACACUUAAGUUUUCAUCAUUUAUCAAAAAAAUCUAAAUUCUUUAUAAUCUACUUGCUACAGAAAGUAAGUUUUAAGUUUGAACAACUUUGCAAAUCUUUGGGUGUAUCUAGCGGUCUAUUCUUAUAAAAGUGUAAAAAUGAAGUUAGACGUUGACUUAAUUAUACCUCUAAGGUUAUUCAUAUUAUUUUCUUUUUGCAUAGCGAAUGAUGAGGGCGAAAUAAGGCUUAAAGAUAAUGUCUAUUAUGUCUUGAAGUCAAUUUUGUGUAUUCCUUAAAUUUCAUCAAAACCUUAUUUGCACCAACAAAGAUUGCGCAUCGGCUUCCAAGAGUUUUUCUUCUCCAAGUUCUCUUGUUGAGCAUGAGAAGAUCAAUGCUCAACUUAAGGCUAAUGAAGGUUGGGGCUAGGCUUUCAACUUGAAAUCUUAGCUUAGAGCCUUAGACCUAACUUGAAAGUGUCAUCGAGUCUAAAUUUUGAUUCUAAUCAGGCUCAAUAUAUCUAUAGGAAGUGUCCAGUAUAUACUUGUCGAGACUGAGAAGACAAUGGCUUUCAUUUCUUGUGAGAAGCUUCUACAUUACUAGGCAGAACAUGCCAUAAAUUUACAUUAGUUACAACCUAGAUUACCUUUGCCAAUGUCACAUCUUACAAGUUACAGAUAGGGAAGAUAAAGAUAUCAUAUUGCUGAUUCCUUGUAUAUGUAAUUUCUUUAUUAAAGUCAUUGAUCCUUGUUAAAAUCAAUCUGAGUUAUGUUUUCUUGGCUUACUUAACUUGAUAAGAGUGCUCAAGUAUGUCAAAAUUCUAGGAUUUGCCAAAGGGUCCGAAAACAGAAAGAAUGACACAAUUGAAUGGUGUAUAUAUGGAGGUGUGAUAAAAUGAAUUUGAAUUUCGAAAAUUUAUUUUAAAAAAAUCUGAAUUAUAAUUCAGUUAAAUCCGAAUUGAUAAAAAAUUUACAGACUUAAACUUCAAAUGAUUUUAAUUUGAAAGUUCCAACUUAAAGUAGUAAUAACCUAAAUUUAAUAUUAAAAAUGACAAAUUUUAUCAAUAUUCAUUUUAAUUUAAUAUGUAUAUGAAUUUAAAUUGAUUUGAACGUUGUCACCUGAACUCGAAAUGACUUGAUUGGAAACGACGCGGUUGCCAACUCUAAAAAAUAUUCACUUACAAAUCAGGAGGCAGGCCAGUAGCAUACUGUCUUGUUGCUGUGAUGUGGUUUCUGAUGAUUGGCUGGCGGACAAGGGACAGGUGAGGGAAUUUCCAAGGCCAUAUUACUGUCUACUUCUAAAAGAUAUUCACAUACAAAUCCAUGCGCAGACAGAGUUGAAACUUUUUUGUUUGGAAUAUUAUACUAAUGAUUGAAAUGCUAUCAAUAUAUUGCCUGGAAUUACGUAUUAAAUGCAGCUGGUUUUGUCGAGUAAAGGGUUUUAAGGAAAAAUACCAAAUUUAUCAUUAUAAGAUGAUUCAAUACUGAAUUGUGUUAGCUCAUGGAAUAUGACGGAGAAUAAGGCUAUGGCUUUUGUCAGCUCAUGAAGGAGUAAUAGCUGCAUUGGCUGUAUCCCCUGUGAAAAGGGCAGGUUUCUUCUGCCAGUCAUGAUCACAAGUUUGUCAAAUUGUGGAAGUGAUACGAUUGCUAGCAGAAUUCCCAAGUUUUAAUCAGCAACAAUUGUUGGUUCGUAGCUGUUCAGGUAGCUCAAAGGUGUCCAUUUUGUGGUUUGUCCCAAUGUAACUACCCUUGUCUGCUGUAUGCAUGCUAUGUAACCUUGUCUCGCUAAUGGUUAAUUUGGACAUUCCUGCUUAAGUUCAUUAACAUUUUUCACAAAAAAAAAAAAAAAGAAAACUGAAUUAUGUCACUACACUUUAAUUGUAUUGUAUUUUGUUAUCAUAAUUUUUAUUUCCAUUAAACUCUGUAAAUGAAAUAUUUUGUCUUUAUUUUUAUUCAAAAAUAACUAAAACAAAAAUAUUUAAAAUAAACGUAUACUGACAAAAUUUAAUGCAAUUGAAACACAAUUGCAAGAUUCAACGUUCAACCAUAAUAUUGUGAUAAAUUUGGUAUUCAUCUUAAGAUUUUUAUUCACCAUGCCAUGAGGUUAUUUGGUUCAUGAUAUUCACAAAAUUGCUACAAGAAUUUCAAAGCUGAGAAGCCUUAGAUUGUUUACUAGGAGCAGAGCAGGGAUAUAUCAGGCUUUAGUACUCAAAGGAAGAUAAUCUUGUUUCUUUGUUGCCAAUACAUGAAAUCACUAAUACUUAUAUCAUCAUACAUGGCUGCUAAAUACAGUUAAAUGGGAGAACAUAACUGGGAACUGGUUAUCAUCAGUUUUUAUUUGAUUAUAUAUUUUACCAUUUCGGAGAUUAACAGCUGAGUACUUUAAGCAUCAUUAGGCAGUGAAUGAAACAACAACUGAAUUCCAUGUUGUGGCCUAAGUGUGAGAAGAGCUAAGGGUGCGUGGACAUAGGCAGGGGAGAGGGCAAUGUUGUAGCGUUGCAGAAUCAUGAAGAUAGCCAUCUUUGUUUCUGUGAUCGCAAAGCUCAUGCCCACGCAAGAUCGAGGUCCCAUUCCAAAGGGAAUAAAUGCACCCGCAUUGUGUUUGGUAGCCUUGGCAAUCCCUUCAGCGAAUCUCUCUGGUUUGAAAAGAUGAACAUCAUCUCCCCAUAAUUCAGGGUCAUGGUGAAGUGCCAUGUUCGGGAUGCUGAACUCUAUAUUUGUAGGCAGCAUGAGCUUUCCCAAUUGAACUUCUCUUCCAACUCUCCUUGCGAUGCCAUUUACAGGAGGAUACAAUCGUAAAGUUUCAUUGAUGAUCAUGGUCAUCUGUUUACAGAUUAGAAGUAAAAGGUAUCAAAUUAUAAAUUCCCUGUUUAAUACCCUGAAUGCUCAAAACUAGUGCAUGCUAUUAAAGUGGUUAGAGCUUGAAAUUUGCUUACAGUUUUUAGUUUGGCAAUCCCUUCAGGAUGUGGAUCUUGAUUACCAAAUACCUCAAUCACCUCUCUUCUUGCUUUCUCUUGCCAAUCUGUAUGGAUUGCUAAAAGCAGGACUGUCCAUGCGAGCAAGGAAUUAGUUGUUUCUUGUCCAGCAAAGUAGAAUGUUUUACACUCAUCUACCAAAUCUUCAACGGAGAGCCUGUUUUUCUCGUCCAAGUCAUGAUAGGCAUUUAGAAGUAAUCCCAGAAAAUCACUGCCAAAGCUCUCAGCUUCUCCAGCCACUACUUUCUCUUCUCUUUGUUUAACAAUCUUCAUCACAGAAUCAUGUAUUUCUUUUGCAAGUUUCUCCGAUUCAAUUUCAUCAGCAUGUUUCCAGACGUAGCUGCAAAAGCAAACCAAAGUCUGCCUUAUAUAUGGAAAAAACUAGGAUAGAAAGAAAAAAUAUCCUCUCAGACCUACAGCUUUAUGCAUAAAAUAGAGCCUUCUGGUUAUUAGUCUCCAGAGUAAAGCUUAGAGGAGCUUACCUGAUGCCAGGUAUCCUGGCUUUAUAAAGAUUUCUGCUUGCGAUUACUGACAACUUCAUCAACGUCUCAAAAAUCUUCUCGCCCUCCAGGUAACUGCUACCAAAAGCUGUUCUGGAUAUCACUUCUGAAGUCAAUAAUCUAAAUUCCUGGAACACUUCGAUCUCCUUCCCUUCCUGGCCUUUCCACUUCUGUAGCAUUGUUUCAACGCUAGCAAUUACUGCUGGAGUCAUGUUCUGCCAAAACCAUCCUCCACUUUGUAAGUAUCACUACUGGAAGAUCACCAAAAUUUUAGUUUGCAAAUGUUCCAAGUACAAUAAAUAAUUCAAUCACCAAGCCUAUGACAGCAAAAACUUAUAGUACAGUGGUUUUCAUAGGAAGUUUUACUUUCAAGCUCUCCCCAUGAAAAGCAUAAUUGGCCAAUUUCCUUUGCCUUGCCCAUUUUUCUCUUACGGUCGUAGCAAGCCCGUCCCCCAGUAUCUUGCUAAGGAAAUAUGUAACUUUCCUCUUUGGAAAAGCUUUUUCACUAUUUUUCAGCACCUCUUUGAUGAGAUCUGGUUCUGUAAUUACCAGCAGAGCUCGAACUCCAUUCCAACUAAGAUAAAUUUUCCCUAAUCAAAGAACACAGAAAAAAAGAGAGUUAAAUCUCUUCCUGGAAGCAGAACUUAGAAAUCCUAGCGGAAAAUGACAUCAUGUCUCACCAUAUGUGUUGAUGCAGGAGUAAAUAUGAGGCAGCACUCUGGGAAAUAUAUCAUGUGUCAAGGCCAUAGGUUUGCUUGAUGCUUCCCUUAUACUUUCGACAACUGCUUUGUUGUUUCCAUGGAUAAACUCAUACGGAGGUCCUUUAAUUCCCUGUGACCUCAGUAUAUUCUGUAUCCGGUGGGGAAUCCACCAGUAGUUGUAGAAGGCCUUGAGCAGAGCUCGGAGGAAGUAAAGGAAGAAUGAACCUGCGACAAGGAUUAAAAGCUUUCCCAUGGAGUUCAUUUCUUUCUCUUAUCCACUACAUUUGAGGUGUUGUGGUUCUUUGCUUUUAUGCACGUUUAGGGCUGAAGGCAUUUUGCUUAUAUGUAAAAGCCGGCUUUUCAUUUGGUGCGAUUUAGAAUUGGUCAAAAGAACAAUCUAGUCCAUGUAAUCUCUAACUGUAUCCAAUUUAAUCCCGAUACUCAAAAUUAAAAUAAUUUAGUCCUUUAAUUUUAAAAAUUUAGUCCCUCUUUUUAAAAAAAUUUAAUUUUACCGUUAAAGAGGAUGAUGUCGAUGAUAACGUGACACAUUUUGAUGAUAUGGAGUUGAAAUGAUGGCGUGGCAUACCAUGUGGCAUCGACAUGAUGACGUGACAAUAUCACAUGGCAUCGACAUGAUAACAUGACAAUGUCACGUGAUACUAAUAUGAUGACGUGGUAAUGACAUGUUGACAUGUCAACUUUACGUGGUAGAUCAAAAAAAUUUUCAAAAUAAAAAAUUUUACCAUGUCAUAAAGAUUAAAUUGAAAAAAAAUAUAUAUAGUACAGAGACUAAAUUGAACAAAAUUAAGAUGAUGAAGGACUACAUUGAAAAAAAUAUUUGAAAAAUAUAAAUCUUUAAGUAGAUUAUUGAUAUACUUAUUAAUAAGCCAAAUAUUUUAGCGUAAAAGAUUUAUGGUGUUAAAAAAUAUAUAUAAAUAUUUUCUUACUUCAUUAUUUGAUUCUAGAAUGUAUACAUUAAUUUAUUUAUUUUUUACAAAAAUUAAGUUUGAAUUCUUCUUGUGUAAAAAAAAAUUUGAAAAAAUUUCAUACCUAAAGUCAAAUUUCGAUGAAUAACUUGCAUUAUGUUAUUACAAAAUAAUAUAAAAUGACUAAAUAAAAUUUUUUCUUCUAUUUAUAAUAGUAUAAAAAUUUGAAAUUUAUUUAACUUAGUUUUUAACGUGAAGUGAACUCAAAUUAGCAAAAUAUGUUGAUUUAGUAAAAAAAAUGAAGAACGAAGAUAUGGAGUUAGUGAUGAUUAUAAAAAUAAUUUCUUAUUCUAACUUACUUAAUUUGGACAUGACAAAUCUCUUAUUAUAACCAUAGAAUUUGAGCUCCACCUUUUUAAUUUUUUAUUUAUUUUUUAUUUCUUUGUUUUGUUUAAUAUUUCAAGUUAUAUUUUUUAAGUUGAAAUUUCCUAGAUUAAAGAUUAGGGGUGAGCAAAUGGGUGGAUUGAGUGGUUUAGUCCACCAUAUCUAAGGACCAAAUGGACCAAUCAUUUUUAAAAAAUCAAUCAAAAUCGACCAAAUAUAAUGGAAGGUUAAACCGACAAAAUAUAGAAUUGGUUUGGUUGGUUCGGUUUUGAACCAAUAGACCAAAAUUUUAUCACAUUUUUUUUUUACAAAUUAUAAUAUUAAAACUUAUAAACUUCAUUCAUAAUUAUAUAUAUAUGAAAUUAAUGAUAAAACUUAUAUGUUAUAAUAUUUUAUAUCAAAGUUUGUAUAAAUAAUAACAAUUAUGAACUAUAUGUUAUAAAAUCUAAGGUGAUAGCUAAUAAGCUUAUUAAGUGUAAUCGUAUAAAUAAAGUUUAUUAUAAGUUAUAGUAAUGCUUAUGUAUAAAUUAAAUAUAUAUAAUAUAUUACAUUAUUAUAUAUAUAAUUAAUGAUACAAAUUUUAUGUUAAAAUAUUUUAUAUAAUCAUAUAAAUAAAGUAUAUUAUAAGUUAUAGUAAUACUUAUGUAUAAAUUAAAUAUAUGUAUAUAUAAUAUAUGACUUUAUUAUAUAUAUGCAUAUACAAAAUUAAUGACAUAAUUUAUAUGUUAUAAUGUUUUAUAUGAAAGUUUGUAUAAAUAAUAACUAAUUAUAAACAAUAGGUUAUAAAAUCUAAGGUGAUAACUAAUAAAGUUAUUAAAUAUAAUCAUACAAAUAAAGUUUAUUAUAAAUUAUAGUAAUGCUUAUGUAUAUGUAUAUAUAAUAUAUCUAUACAGUUAUCUAUAUAGUUAUAUAUAUAUAUAUAUAUAUAUAUAUAUAUAUAUUCAUACCACUUUAUAUUACGACAUAUUACUAAGGUUUAAUAAUUAUAAUAUAUUAAUAUGUAGGAUAUUUACUAUUAUAUAUUAUAAUAUUAACAUAUAACUUAUAUUAUUUAAAAUAUAUAACUUGUAAUUUCAUAUUCAUAUAAAUUUAUAAAUAAAUAUAUAUGACUAAUAUUAAAUUACUAUGAUUAUGAUUUGUAUACGUACAUAUAAUACUCUAAUAUAUUUUAAAUAUAUUAUUAAUUAAGUUUACUAUCAAUUUUUUUAAUAUAUAAAAAAUAUAUAUGACUAUAUAUACAAAUAUAUAAAAAAUUAAUUUGGUUUUUUGUGUGGAUUGGUUUAAAAAUUUUAAAAUCGAGAACCGACCAAAUAACCAAUUGGACCAAAUAUUUUGGACCAAUUGAUUCAAUGGACUAAUUAGACUGAAUUAUUUUACUCAAAUCGCAUUUGGUUUGGAUAGGUAAUUGGUCUGGAUUGGUUUUGCUAACCUUUAUUAAAGAAUAUAUUUAUUGUUGAUAAAGUUCAAUAUAAUUGUAAAUAUUUGUACCAUUUUAUUUUAUUAAUAAAUUUUUUGUAGAUCCAAAUUAAUAAUUUAAAUAUAAAUUUAGCAUAAUUUGAUUGUGGUAUUUGAACUUAAAUAAAAUUGUUUUAUAAGAAAUUUUAAAUAAAUUUAAAUAAAAGGUACAUUAGGUAAGAGUUGAAUAAUUUCAUAAAAAAUGGGUAUUUAUAAAUUGUAAAAGUUGUAACUAAAUCAAUGUAUUUUGUUAAUUUGAGUUUAGCUUAAGUUAAAAACUAAGUUAAAUAAAUUUCAAAUUUUUAUACUAUUAUAACUAGAAAAAAAAAGAAUUUAUUUAGUUAUUUUAUAUUAUUUUAUUAUAAUAUAAUGUAAGUUAUUCAUCUAAAUUUGACUUUAGGUAUGAAAUUAUUUUGAAAUUUUUUUUUAGAAGGAGAAUUCUAACUUAAUUUUUGUAAAAAAUAUAAAUUAAUAUAAAUAUUCUAUAAUCAAAUAAUCAAGAAAGAAAAUAUUUAUAUAUACUUUUUAAUACCAUAAAUCUGUUACACUUAAAUAUUUAGCUUAUUAAUAAAUAUAUCAAUAAUCUACUUAGAUAUUUGUAUUGUUUAAAUAUUUUUUUUCAAUUUAGUCCCUCAACAUCUUAAUUUGUUCAAUUUAAUACCUAUACUAUAUAUUUUUGUUCAAUUUAAUCCCUAUAACGUGGCAAGAUUUUUAUUUUAAAAUUUUUUUUGAUCUGUCACGUGGCACAAGCAUGCUAACAUAUCAAUGCCAUGUCAUCAUAUUAGUGCCACGAGGCAUUGCCACAUCAUUACGUCGGCGCCACGUGGUAUUCCACAUCAUCAUCUCAAUGCAUCAGCACUAAAAUGUGCCGAAAUGUGCCAUAUUAGUGCUGAUGUCAUCUUUUUUAAUGACAAAAUUAGAUACCGUUAGGGAGAGAGAUUAAAUUAAAGAAAUUUUCAAAAUUAAAGAACUAAAUUGCUUCGAUUUUAAGUAUAGAAAUCAAAUUGAACAAAAUUGAAAAGUACAAGAAUUGAAUAGGUCUUUUGACUAUUUGAAAUUAUUGCCUUCAAAAAAUACACCCACUUUUUAAGUAAAGGGCUUAACAAUUCAACUACAAAUAUUCAUGGCAUGCUAUACAUAAUGCCUAAUGCCUCACUCUUAUGACUCUUAUUGAAUAAUUGUGACGCAAUAAUAGUAGGUGAUGUACUCUCUUAUCUCGCAAGUCAUGUUAUGCCAAUCACUAAACUGCAGAUUAUAUUGGAUUCAACUUAGCAACAAUUUUGGCAUUUAUAUGAUCAAUGAAAUAAAUAAAGAUUAAUUAUAAUUAACAAUUAGGGUUCUUCAUCCUAUGAACAGGAAAAAAAAGGUGUAAUAAUCACUUCAUAUCAUGCAUUAAUAUGAACAAUAAUGAACUCAACUUGAUAAAAUUUGGUUUUAAUAGAUGUUAAGCUUUGAUUUAGAGUUCACUGGGUAAUAGGUGGUAUAUACAUUAGGACUUUCUGUUUUUUUUUCUUUUUUUUGGGGGGGGACACCUUGUAUUAAUUCAUUCAAAUUUUUUUUGAAAGGUAUUAAGUCAUUCAAUUUUAACUACUCAUUGUAAGAAUUCAAAAGGGAUAAGGACCUCCAAGUGGGGCUUUUUACUUUAGUCAAAGACUGCUGCAAAACGUGAUAAGAAUUUUACAUGUUCAAGACUAUUUUCCAUAGGUUUAUUUUAGUCAAAGACUCUUGCACAUCACGUUAUGUAACAUUUCAAAGAAAUAAAUGGUGAGAGUCAACAAGAUUGUGUUAUAUAUAGUCCUCCUGUCCCAUUUUAUUUUUUCUUAUUUGAUUUUCAUGAAAUUUUAAAAAAAUUAAUUUUGAUGUAUUUUAUAUUAAAAUUUCAAAUUGUAUUAUACACGUUAUGUUCCAUGGAUUUUAAUCUCAAAAAAUUUUAAAAAAAUUAUGAAAAAUAAAUUGAAAAUGUAUCUUGUAGUACGUGUAUAACUUUGUCCUAUAAUACAAGCUGUAGUAGAUAUAUAGCCAAAAUCAUUAUCAGUACUCAAUUAUAAAAUCAAUUAAAUUGUCAUAAUCACCCCUUUGCACGGGAAAAGAAAAACGCAAGGAAAGAAGAAAAAAAGUUGCAAUAACCCUGGGAAAAUGUCCUUCAUCAGAUAUAUUAUAUACUUUGCAUUAACAUAAUCUUCUAGUCAUCAUCAUCAAUCAACAUCUGGCUUUUGUUUAUUUUUGGACUGUUUGCAGCUUGCUCUUAUCUUUUCUCACGGUCGGUGGAGCUGGCAAAGCAGACAUUGGCCAGCUACAAUAUGUUAUAUUAGAAGCUUCAGUAUUACUAGGCACUAGACAGUACAUCCUUAUUUCUCACGUCUUACAACUGAUUGGAAGGAUAAAAAACUAAAACCCACCUAAUUUCUCUUGUUUUAUAUUAAAAUGAUUGAUCCUUGUUAAAAAUCAAUCUGAAUUAUCUUUUCUUGUUUUACUCGUUGACCAGAGAUACGCUUACAAAUCAAGUGUGCCUAAUCCUAGAUUUUACUGAAGGGAAGCAAAACAGCAACAAAUGACAUUGAUUAAUGUUAAAUGGCCUAUCUAUAUCUCUUUGUCCAAAUACGCAGCUGCUGCACACUGGCUUCGGCCUUGAUUUGUAAUGAUUGCCUGGACACCUGAGGAAAUUUCAAGGCCUUUGUGCUCUCUAGUUCUUAAAAAAAUUGACCUAGAACGUCCAUAUUCAGACAUUGCAGAAACUUUUGUGCUUGGAAGUUAAUUAUACUCAGGAGAGAUUGAACUGAUAUCAAUAAUAUAUUGUCUGGAUUUAUGUGUUAAAUGCUGCUGAUGUUUUCGGUCAGGAGAGAGCUAGAGCAUUUUCAAAGGGGAGGUCAAACAGAAAGAGAUAUUAAAUAGUUAAAGAGAAUUUUAUAUAUAAUUCAAUUAUUACUUAUCUAAAAAAUUAAAUAAAAUUUAGAAAAUAUUGAACAUAUAAAAAAAUGCAUAUUAGCAGUAAUAGUAGUGUCAUUUAUAUAUAUGACUGAAUGAAACUAUAAAAAAAAUUCUCUUUUACUCUUUAUGCACAAGAGUGGAAAAGAAAAUAAUUUUUCAAACUUAAAUGAAUUGCCUCUUAACUUUGUGUGUCUUAACUCUCAUUUUAUUUUCUAUUUACUUCUUAAAUUGCUAAUUAACAUAUUAAGUUAUUAGAUUAAACUAUUAAAAUAUAAUAUGUUUGUCGUAACGUGCGGGUCCGAGAACCCGUCCGCCAGACGCUGGCGAAAAUAAAUCGGUUUAGGAGUCGCCACCAAUAUUUUUUUUUAUCUAGAUGUGAUUGGUCACCUAUUAACCAGAUUCUAAUCGACAAAGUCCUAAAUUAAUUUUAGGUCCGUCGAAAGAACGAGAACUGAUCUACGUUUUUUAGAGAUAGGUUCGGGAGUGCGGUUACGCACGGAGAAUGGUUAGCACCUCCGUGGCACCCGUUCCACGAACGGUACCAUUUAAUCUUAAGUUAUCCUAUUAUAGCCUACUUUUGAUUUAUUCCCUACUUAUUAACUAAAUUUUUAUUAAACUGACUGCCUGAAUCUUUUAUUUGGUUUUACAUAUGCACGUGAUGCAAGCGUAAAAUGAUGUCAUGACUCGUUUAUUUUAAAUAAUGGGAUCAGUAAUCUUUUAUUGAAAAAUUAUUUGAAGACCAUCCCAACGCUUUGGUGAAGUCUUGAAAUUCUCCUCACCUAGAGAUAUCCUGGGAAGAACUCAUCUUUACAAGCUCUUCGGGGAAAUCCCAUCAUCGGAAUUUUCGCACCAUUUGCAAGAUAAAUGUGGCGUGCUAUGACAGGAUAAAGUGAUGAUGUCUACAUGCACGCGUUUAUUGACUUAAGCGGUUCAUAAUUCAUCCAAUUAUGUGUUUAAUAAUUUAUCACCUUAUUUAUAUAUUUAUUUUGUCAUUUUUUUUCAUGGAUUAUUUAUUUAUUUUAUUAUUAUUAUUAUUUUUUGUUUUUAUUUUCUAUUUAGAUCCAUAUCUUUUAAUUAACAUUGUUGAUUAACAUUUAACUUGAUUAUAUAACUUAUCAAAUAAACAAUUAAUUAAUUUUUUCAAACGAUUAAAUUAACUUUAUUUAGUAAUAUUUAUUUAAGCUAAUUAACUAAUUUAAGUUUGGAUGCAACAUUAUGUAAAUUUAUUUUUUUUUUAACAAUGACUAUUUGACUUAAUAGGUAUUGGAGUUUAGAGUUCGGAUUUAUCCCGACGCUUCAGUGAAAAUCCGUCUCAAACUUCGCACAAAAAAAAAAUCCACUUAAAAAAAGCAACUCUUUGCCUUUCUUAGGUGGAGUUUCUCAAACAAUUAUCUUAUUUUUCUUAUAAUUUUUAUAUUCGUAUCAUGUUACUGUUUUUUUGUUUUUUUUAUUUAUAUAUAUAUAUAUAUAUAUAUAUAUUAUAUUUACAAGUAUCUAAAUAUGAAUAUUUCUUUCUUUUUUUUUAUUCCUCUCAUUUGUUUAUUAUCAUUACUAUUUUUAACAUAAACUAAACCUAUGAUUAGUUUUCUUAGUAUUUAUUUUAUGUAUAUAUGUAUAUAUGUUCUUCUAAACUAUGUAUCUUUACUAUUUUUUUUAUUAUGACUAUCAUUGUUUUUUUAUUUUUUUGUUAUUUCUAUUCUUAUUCAUUUAUUGAUUUUUUUAGACCAAACCUAAGAACUCUCAUAAAUAUGAAUAUUGAUCCCAAUAUAUAUAUAUAUACAUAUUGUUUUUUUAUUUUUUUGUUAUUUCUAUUCUUAUUCAUUUAUUGAUUUUUUAGACCAAACCUAAGAACUCUCAUAAAUAUGAAUAUUGAUCCCAAUAUAUAUAUAUAUACUAUUACAACCAUUAUCAUCUCUUUUUAUUAUUUUUUUUGUUUGAAUAUUUGUUUUUAUUUAUUUUUUUAUCAAAUAUUUACUCAUAUUUUCAUUUACCACUUUAUAUUUUAUUGUUAUUUUUCUACUUUAAAAUAUCAUAUAAUCUCUACAUAAUAUCUUUUUUAUCUUAAUUAAAUUAUUCUUAUGCUCAUAAUAAUAUGUUUUAAACAUAAACAAUUGAGUCACCACAAUAAAUAAAAAAAAUAUUAUAGUAAAAAAGCAUGCAAGUUAGAUCUUACCUUAUGUAGAUUUAGAUUAGCUCAAAAAGAAUAGAAUUAUGUGGGCCAAGGCAAGCCACGUACAACAACUUGCUCUCCAAAAAAUGCCGUGAAGAGUCCCUUCUUGUUACAAAUCUCUACCUCAUUUCUCCUUUUUUUUUUUUCUUUCUUUCUCUCCCUUAUUUCCUUCUUCCUUUCCUUUCUCUCUCCCCGUCGACUUCUUCUUUCUUUUUCUUUUUUUUUCUUUUUUUUUUCUUCUCUUCCUCUCCUUUCCUUUCUCUCUCCCCGCUGGCUUCUUCUUUCUUUUUCCUCUUUCUUUCUCCUUCUCUUUCUCUCUUUUCUCCCUGCCGGCGUCACACCCUUCUCCUCUUCUCUCUUCCUCUUCUCUCUAUCGUCUUCUUCCUUUUUUUUUUUGCUCUAUUUUUUGUGUUUGAUUGUGGUUCUUCGGCUGCUAGAGACUUUUUGGUUUUUUGAAAACGUUUUUUUAUAUUGUUUUUUGGCUUUUUUUGGUUCUUCCUCUCUGAUUUUUUUUUAUUUUCCCACUUCCCCCGUUUUGCAGGUUGUCCAUCUUUUGAGGUCAGGUUGUCCAAAAAUUUGGACAACUCGGUAAUGGGGUUCUACACCAAAAAGUUGAUAGUCAAAACCCCCAUCAUUUAAGGUGGUUCCUUCUCUUUUUCUUUUUUAAUUAUUUUAUUUUAUACUUUAUUUUAUUAUAAUUUUUUAUUUUUUUGAGGUAUCUACUUAUGAUAGAUUAUUAGAUUGGACGGUUAAGAUAUAAUAUGUUAUGAGAAGCUUAGAUUUAUAUUAAAAUUUAAUAGAUUUGAAUUAGUAGAUUCACUUUUAUUUUUUUGUAAAUUUGAUAGGCUUAACAUAUUAGUUUAAAAUUUAUUUAUUGGGUUUAACUAGCAAUAUGGUAACCAUAAUAACUCUAAUUUUGCCAAACAGUAUGAAAAAUAAAACUAAUUAUUAAAUUAAAAAUUAUUUUGAGAGCUAUUAAAAAUAAAUAUAAUAAAUAAAUAUGUAUUGAAAAAAUAUAAUUAUUUCAUUCUAUCAAUUUGUAUGUAUAAUCUUAUUACUUAAAAUUUGUAACAUACGUACUAAAAUGUAUUGGUUAUUUUGAAUAAAAAAUAAUAUAUUGAUGAAAUUUUAAGUCACAAUACAAUACUGCAACGUAUAUUUAAAAAUUAUAUAAUAAUUUAUUUAUUUUUAAAAAUUAAAAUCAUAAAAAAUAAUAUCUAGAUAAUAGAAAAAAAAACAUGAAAAGUAGAAAAUAAAAUCCAUAUAUAAUAUAAUAAAAGAAAAAAAAUAUGAUUGUUGGUACGUUAAAAUUUGUGAAAGAAAAUUUAUAAAGAUUUAAAAUAUAUGAGAAGAACUAGGUUUCCCAGGUGAACGCUGCAUCAGGAGCAGGGAUAUCAUUCCGCAGUAGGGCAGUACCAGUAUACGUUUGUGAUUUAAGCUUUGAACCACUUUAAACUGAAAGGCUCUGACAGCAUAUCAAGAACCACCCGUUUUGGAUUGAGAAAUAAGGAUCCAAAAAUAGUUACCAUACAUUUAACAACUAUUAUCACAUCGCUGAUAAUUAAAUGCUAUAGUACAUUGAAUACCGUUACUGAAGACUAUUUAACAUUUUACCAUCUUGGACACUAAUAGCUGCACACUCCAGAAUAAGCUAUACUAACCUAGAAGCAGCUAGUCUUAUUAAGAACUUUAGGCACCACUCUGUAGUGAAUGAAGCAUUACUUGAAUUCCAUGUUGUGGCUGAAGCUUAAGUAUAGUAAAUGGAGAGUGAACAUAGGCUGGGGAGAGAGUAAAGGUGUAACGUUGUAGAAUCAUUGAGAGAGCAGUCUUUGUUUCGGUGGUUGCAAAGCUCAUACCCACGCAAGAUCGAGGUCCCAAUGAAAAAGGAAUGAAUGCAGCCGCAUUGUAUUUGGUAGCUUUGGCAGUCCCUUCUGCGAGCUUAUCUGGUUUGAAAAGAUUAAAUAGAUUGAUUAUAUUAUCAAUUGAAAAAAAAAUAUUAGAAAAAUUUGAUUAUAAAAAUUUAAUUAAAAAUUUUGCAUAUCAAAAAGUUAGAAGAAUAAAAUUUUAAUAAUUUUUUUUAAUUUCAAUAAAAAAACCUCAUUUGAUUAUUUUGCUUUAAAUUUUUGAACUUAUUGAGCCGCCUUUGGCCAUAUCAUUUUCAUAAUUCGUCAAGUUACUCUAUCAAGAUACAUUCCCAAUCCCCUAUGCUUUACAUCAUUUCUUUCAACCCAAAGAAACUAAGAAAUUACAUAUUAAAUGUAGCUGGUUUUGUCCAUACUGGUUAUCAGCGGAGUAAAGGGUUUUAAGGAAAAAUACCAAUUUAUCAUUAUAAGGUGAUUCAAUACUGAAUUGUGUCAGCUCAUGGAAUAUGACGGAAAAUAAGGCUAUGGCUUUUGUCAGCUCAUGAAGGAGUAAUAGCUACAUUGGCUGUAUCACCUGUGAAAAGGGCUGGUUUCUUCUGCCAGGCAUGAUCACAAGUUUGUCAAAUUGUGGAAGUGAUACGAUUGCUAGCAGAAUUCCCAAGUUUUAAUCCACAACAAUUGUUGGUUUGUAGCUGUUCAGCUUGCUUAAAGGUGUCCAUUUUGUGGUUUGUCCCAAUGCUCAAAGAUUUUUAUUCACCAUGCCAUGAGGUUAUUUGGUUCAUGAUCUUCACAAAAUGACUACAGGAAUUUAGAAGCUGAGAAGCCUUAGAUUGUUUACUAGGAGCGGAGCUGGGAUAUACCAGGGUUUAGUACUCAAAAGAAGAUAAUCUUGUUUCUUUGUUGCCAAUACAUGAAACCCCUAAUACUUGUAUCAUCAGAAAUGGCCGGUAAAUACAGUUAAAUGGAAGAAAAUAAUCAGAAACUGGUUAUCAUUAGUUUGUAAGAUUUCUUAAAAAAAACUGUACAAAUUUCCAGAAAUCAAAAGAGCAAAAUGAUGAACAAAAACAGAGUUGAGAGAAGAAACAAGUCUGUAUAUGGAUCAAAAUUGAUGAAAUAACGGCUGCUCAGAUGAAAGAGAAAGAAGGCCGUUGGACUACACAAACAAAGAGAGAACGAAAACGACGCGAUUGAAGGAAAGAAACAAACAUUGAACAAACGACACAACAAGUCGUCGUAUGCUCCUGUAAACAGAACAGACAAGAAACGACAGCCAAGGACACCGUUUAAGCACCCCCAACAAGCAAAUCAUAAAACGACACAGGUGACCCCCGUUUCACAAACUCAAAUCGAUGAAGGCAUAUGCGGCACCACUUUGCACAGCCCUGAACCCUUCUUCAACUUAUUUAAAUUCCAACUGCUUCCCGCCAUUAGUUAUUUAUAAUUAGUUAUUAUUUAUAAGUUUUUGCCAGUUCUGAUCAGGCGGGCUGGUCAAAAUUGUAAAGUAGUUGUAAAUACUUGCAAAGAUACCAUUGUUAGAGGUCUGGUUAUAUGUCAUGGCGCAUAUUUGAGAAUGGAGUUCAUGCUGAUUAAUCGUGUGCAAACUGUGAUGUCCACAUUUAUUGGAUUUUGAGAGGGCUAUGAACUCGACUGAAUGGCUUCUGUGUUCAGUAUAUAAACUGAAACAGGGGACUGUACUCCCCAACAAACUUGCUGGAAAUAAUUUUAUAGUUGCUUAACAGGGGAGAUCACCGUGAAAGCCUGUGCUGUUUAUACCAUUUAGUUUAGUUUUAGUAUGUGGUAAUCUUGAUGCUCCUUCUGCCUAAUGAGCAAGCCAGAGCUGGUUCCCGGGUUCACCUAGUCCUGUACUGUGUAUAAAGAGAAUUUUGAAUAUAAAUCAAUAGUAUGCCAUAAUUUAGUAUGAUUUCUUACCAUUUUAUUUAAUUUUUUCAGGGUAAAUUUAUAACUAAUGUCAAUCUUUACCAAUAAUGGAGCCAAGGUUUAUGCUCAAUCUGGGUAAAGUUAUUUCUCCUUCUGCAAGUCUCUCUGGUUUGAAAACAUGAACAUCUUCAACCAUAUCUCAGGGUCAUGGUGAAGUGCUGGAGUUGAAAUGAACAAUUCAGUAUUUUUCUUCUUGGAGAAUUUUGUUACAGAAAAAAAGAUGCCUGGACAAUCAUACGGAUCUCUAAUCAAGAUCUACAACAAUAUCAGAAUAUAAGAGGAAAUAGUACUCAGAGGAGCACCAUCUUCAUACUUGAUUGCUUAAACAUUUUGUUCCAAUAUCAUCAUUUACUAUUACAUGGAUAGAAACAAGGACAAAUUAAUCAACAUCACUGACUGGGGUGAGUUACUGGCUGCGGCCUCUGUAAGCAACUGAUCUACAAGGCAUUAUUCCAUUGACAACUCUAGGCUUCAUUCUACAGAGAAUGAAGUAUUACCUGAAUUCCAUGUUGUGGCUGAAGCAAAGGAAGGUAAUAUGGUGAGUGGCUGUAGGCUGGGCAAAGGGAAAUGGUGUAUCGCUGUAGAAUCAUGGAAAGAGCAAUCUUUGUUUCUGUAAUUGCAAAGCUCAUACCGACACAAGAUCGAGGUCCCAAUCCAAAGGGAACAUAUGCAGCUGCAUUAUGUUUGGUGGCAUUCGCGAUCCCUUCUGCGAAUCUCUCAGGUUUGAAUAGAUUGACAUCAUCUCCCCAUAACUGAGGGUCAUGGUGAAGUGCCAUGAUUGGGACAACCAAAUGUAAAUCAGCUGGCAGGAUGAGCUUUCCCAAUUGAACUUCUCGUCCAACUCUCCUUACGAUGCGAUUUAAAGGAGGAUACAACCGUAAAGUUUCAUUGAUGAUCAUGGUCAUCUGUUUACAGAUUAGAAAUCAAAGGUAUCAAAUUAUAAAUUCCCAGUUUAAUACCCUGAAUGCUCAUAACUAGUGUAUGCUAUUAAAGUGGUUAGAGCUUGAAAUUUGCUUACAGUUUUUAGUUUGGCAAUCCCUUCAGGAUGUGGAUCUUGAUUACCAAAUUCCUCAAUCAUUUCUCUUCUUGCUUUCUCUUGCCAAUCUGUAUGGAUUGCCAAAAGCAG
This 29412-nucleotide long non-coding RNA is filed under the name Theobroma cacao (cacao). RNAcentral describes it as "long non-coding RNA (TCAC_LNC001457)". The stretch from base 17866 to 17958 matches the Rfam family "Small nucleolar RNA snoR8a". Lineage: Eukaryota; Viridiplantae; Streptophyta; Magnoliopsida; Malvales; Malvaceae. The record is from RNAcentral.